Non-coding RNA from Nicotiana sylvestris (wood tobacco), 88 nucleotides. The record is from Rfam. Lineage: Eukaryota; Viridiplantae; Streptophyta; Magnoliopsida; Solanales; Solanaceae.
UUGUUUGCAAAUGCAACACCUUCAAGAUUCACAUAUAUUUGUCAAUAAAAUCCAAUGUGAAUCUUGAUGAUGCUGCAUUAGCAAUAAA